AUGGACACUUAUUCAGACCCUGUCAAACAGUGUAGCCUAUGUAUUACAAAACAUCUUGUUGAGAACCAUUUACUCCAGAAAAGUUUCGAAAUUUUCAAAGCCUGAUUGGAAAAAUGGCGCGUUGCUCUUUAAGGUUCAUCCACUUCCUCGGUUUGAUGAUGUACAUUUCAUCAGCUACAUCAUCGUCUCCGAGUGCCACGAUUUUCACCCUGGAAGAGAAGCUGCAUACAUUAACAGACAACUUUAUUAAAUUCAAGGAGGACGUCGAAGACAAACACAUGCAACUCGAGGCCAAAAACGCAAAGCUGGAGGCGAAUGAUCAAAUUCACAAAGACGUUCGAAGAGUACUAGAAAACAAAGUGACGCAACUUGAGGCUAGGGUGAUUCAAUUAGAGGCAACAGUAGAGCAUCAAGAAUCACUUCUUAUCGCCCUGCAAACUGAGCAAUCAUUGACAACUACUUCCGGAUCACGCAAUAUUCCUUCUGCUGGGAAGAGUAGCAUCGCAAGAACGUGUCGAGAUCUUCGUGCGACUGAUCCUUCACUUCCGUCCGGAAUGUACUGGAUCGAUCCGGAUGGACAAGGAAUCGGAGACGACGCCAUCUACGUUCAAUGUAACAUGACGUCAGGAUCCACAUCUGUUCCACACGACAGCGAAUCACCAAUCGACGUGGGUCAUUGCGCUGAUCCUGGAUGCUACUCGAGGGCAAUCAACUACGUCGCAAGUAGCAGGCAAAUUAAGGCUUUGUCUCAGCUAUCAGCCGAAUGCCAACAGUCGAUCAAAUACGAGUGCAAUUAUGCGCCGUUUGAGACUAAUAAUAUCGUCUACUCAUGGUGGAAUGAUAAAGAUGGGAAUCCGCAAUAUUUUUGGUCGGGAAGCAACUCAAGCGUUCACACUUGUCAGUGUGGUAUCGACCAUAACUGCGUCGAAGAUUACGUAAAAUGCAACUGCGAUUCAACCGUUCCACUACUGCUGGCUGACAAUGGUGUCAUCAGAGAUAAGGAAAUUCUGCCAAUAAGCCGUCUCAACUUCGGUCGGACUCAACUGGCAACCUCUUCCGGUGUCCACACUUUGGGCCAAUUUGAAUGUAACGGACAAGUGUCCGUCGCCGGAAUUCCGACUUCAUGUGAAGACUUGUGGCUGGUGGGACAUACUUUGAGCGGAUUGUAUUCCGUAAUGGGAACAUCUAAAAUGGAAUCUGUAUACUGCGAUUUCACUAAACUCCCUGAUGACGCGGGUUUCCAGAAAUGGAUCGGGUACGCUGACAUAAAAUCAGCGCUCACAUACUUUCAUGUGUCGAGAAACGCUCACUUCAGUCAAAUUGGCACCCCGAUUCCAUUCCAGAUUUCGCACAUCAACACUGAGAAUGCUAUGGAUUUAAACAUGGGGAAAUUCAGAGCACCGCGGACGGGAACCUACUUUUUCUCGUUCAACGGCAUGGUGGAAAUUCCAGCCUCGCCUAGGGUUGGUUUAGGGGUUUCCAUUUACUUGAAUGGCGUAAACAAAGGGAGGAGCUGGAAUGAAAAAAUCAAUGGCGGUUCCAGUGACAAUGAUCAAGUAGGCCUCCAAGUAACACUCAAUUUGAAAACGGGGGAUCAAGUAUGGGUGGAGAUUGACGACAGAUUUUCUGAGACAUUUCUGUGGGAAGACGGUAGUGGACUAAACACUCAUUUCACUGGUUGGAUUUUAGAAGAAGAAAUUAAAAACUCGCUGUGAAUUGUUGUUUUGAUAGUAGAAUAUAACAUAUAUCAAUCUACAUCAAUUAAAUCAUUGAUCAUAUAUGCCUAAAAAGUGGUGCGCUGAAUCACGAAAAGCAAAAAAAUCGCAAAAAAUUUGAAGAAUUUUAUAUUUUCUUACCAUCAGCAUCAUUGACGUUGACGUAUUCUUGAGCAUCAAUAACAGAUUUGACUUCAGAUUCGCUCGUUGAUGUUGAAAUGUUGAUGUUGAAAAGAAGCAGAACAAAGCAAAAUAAAAGAGACCUGGACUGGAAGGUCGAAAGAA
RNAcentral lists this unclassified non-coding RNA (2000 nucleotides) under Daphnia pulicaria. Its description in RNAcentral is "uncharacterized LOC124336186, transcript variant X1". Lineage: Eukaryota; Metazoa; Arthropoda; Branchiopoda; Diplostraca; Daphniidae. The record is from RNAcentral.